UGAGGAAUAUUGGUCAAUGGGCGCAAGCCUGAACCAGCCAUCCCGCGUGAAGGAGGAAGGCCCUACGGGUUGUAAACUUCUUUUCUGUUUGAAGAAUAAGCUCGUCGAGACGAGUGAUGCCGGUAGGACAGGAAUAAGCAUCGGCUAACUCCGUGCCAGCAGCCGCGGUAAUACGGAGGAUGCAAGCGUUAUCCGGAUUUAUUGGGUUUAAAGGGUGCGCAGGUGGUUUAAUAAGUCAGUGGUGAAAGUCUGGUGCUUAACGUUAGGAUUGCCAUUGAUACUGUUAGACUUGAAUAUGGAUGAGGUAGGCGGAAUGUGUAGUGUAGCGGUGAAAUGCUUAGAUAUUACACAGAACACCGAUUGCGAAGGCAGCUUACUAAUCCAUCAUUGACGCUGAGGCACGAAAGCGGGGGGAUCAAACAG
Molecule: ribosomal RNA, 423 nt
Filed under: uncultured bacterium
Lineage: Bacteria
Description: bacterial SSU rRNA
Rfam family: Bacterial small subunit ribosomal RNA
Source: RNAcentral